GAUGAACGCUGGCGGCGUGCCUAAUACAUGCAAGUCGAGCGAACGGACGAGAAGCUUGCUUCUCUGAUGUUAGCGGCGGACGGGUGAGUAACACGUGGAUAACCUACCUAUAAGACUAGGAUAACUUCGGGAAACCGGAGCUAAUACCGGAUGAUAUUUUGAACCGCAUGGUUCAAAAGAGAAAGACGGUCUUGCUGUCACUUAUAGAUGGAUCCGCGCUGCAUUAGCGAGUUGGUAAGGUAACGGCUUACCAAGGCAACGAUGCAUAGCCGACCUGAGAGGGUGAUCGGCCACACUGGAACUGAGACACGGUCCAGACUCCUACGGGAGGCAGCAGUAGGGAAUCUUCCGCAAUGGGCGAAAGCCUGACGGAGCAACGCCGCGUGAGUGAUGAAGGUCUUCGGAUCGUAAAACUCUGUUAUUAGGGAAGAACAUAUGUGUAAGUAACUGUGCACAUCUUGACGGUACCUAAUCAGAAAGCCCCGGCUAACUACGUG
This 497-nucleotide ribosomal RNA is filed under the name uncultured bacterium. RNAcentral's name for it is "partial 16S ribosomal RNA". It matches the Rfam family "Bacterial small subunit ribosomal RNA", at positions 28 to 507 of the family's 1533-position model. The record is from RNAcentral.